UUCUGCCCAAUGAUUAUUUAAAUGGCUGCAGUAUUCUGACUGUGCAAAGGUAGCAUAAUAAUUAGUCUUUUAAUUGAAGGCUUGUAUGAAUGAGUAAAUGAGAAAUUUAUUUUAUUUUUUUUAUUAUUAUAAUUUAAUAUAUAAGUAAGAAAGCUUAUUUGUUUAUUUGGGACGAUAAGACCCUAUAGAACUUUAUUUUUAUUUUUAUAAAUUUUAUAUUUAGAUUCAUUUUAUUAUUUAAAAAUUAAAUUUUUUGUUGGGGUGAUAAAUAAAUUUUUACUUUAUUUUUUUAAAUCAUAUAUUAGUGUAUAUUUUGAUCCUUUAGUAAGAUUUUAAGAUUAAGUUACCUUAGGGAUAACAGCGUUAUUUUAAUGGGGAGUUCAUAUUUAUAUUAAAGUUUGCGACCUCGAUGUUGAAUUAAGAUAAAUUUGAGGGGUAG
RNAcentral lists this ribosomal RNA (439 nucleotides) under Ladoffa elauta. RNAcentral describes it as "partial large subunit ribosomal RNA". The record is from RNAcentral. Lineage: Eukaryota; Metazoa; Arthropoda; Insecta; Hemiptera; Cicadellidae.